Molecule: long non-coding RNA, 676 nt
Filed under: Marmota monax (woodchuck)
Lineage: Eukaryota; Metazoa; Chordata; Mammalia; Rodentia; Sciuridae
Source: RNAcentral
UUGGUCACACUUCCUAUACCAUUAUUAAGUUACUGCCUCUCAGCUUCAUCUCAACUGCUCCACACAAGCUUUACCAUAACAGACAGAAUUCCUUUCAGCAUCCAUCCUUCACAGUGAGCAACACCACAUGGGGCUUUUUCAGCCCAGGCAUUUGAGGCAUAUUGCUGGAGGAAGGGACCCUCUGCUAUGUGCAGCUUCCUCGAGGGGCCAGCAGCUUAGGUGGGAAGACUUUGAACAUGGUCUUCCCCAGCCAUACACACAGAGCAUAUGGUCUCUCUGUCAAUUCUCAGCUCCAGUGUGGCCUAGCAUUAAAAAUAGAACCCCCUUUCAUAGGGUUAUAAUGAGUACUAAUUUUUAAAGUGCAUGUGUAAUCAGUAUGUUAGCAUGAAGCUCUCAUGGUGUGAAUAAACACUUUGAUUUUACUCCUUGCUGUUCUUUUAAGACUGCUUGGGGGAUAGGGACUGACUAGGCCUUCUCCUAUAUUUGGAUGAAACUUGAAAUGCCAUAGGGACUGUUCCGACACAGGACUCUGGGGGAACAUAAAAUCCUACAAUCACUUUAAGUCAUAAAAAGAGCCUCAAGUCAAUUAUUGAAAGUGUCCAUUACAUCCAUCCGUUUCGCAAUCUUUAUUCAAAAGUAAGACUUCUGUACCCCCUAUUUGCUAACUGUGGCUUCU